CAGGACGAACGCUGGCGGCGUGCCUAAUACAUGCAAGUCGAACGGUCUUUCUAUGGAAGCUUGCUUCCACUGAGAAGAUAGUGGCGAACGGGUGAGUAACACGUGGGUAACCUGCCCAUAAGAGGGGGGAUAACAUCCGGAAACGGGUGCUAAUACCGCAUAGUUUUCUUGGUCGCAUGAUCGGGAAAGGAAAGACGGCCUUUGUGCUGUCGCUUAUGGAUGGACCCGCGGCGUAUUAGUUAGUUGGUGAGGUAACGGCUCACCAAGACGAUGAUACGUAGCCGACCUGAGAGGGUGAUCGGCCACAUUGGGACUGAGACACGGCCCAAACUCCUACGGGAGGCAGCAGUAGGGAAUCUUCCGCAAUGGACGAAAGUCUGACGGAGCAACGCCGCGUGAGUGAAAGAAGGUUUUCGGAUCGUAAAACUCUGUUGUCAGAGAAGAACAAGUUGGAGAGUAACUGCUCCAGCCUUGACGGUAUCUGACCAGAAAGCCACGGCUAACUACGUGCCAGCCGCGGC
RNAcentral lists this ribosomal RNA (521 nucleotides) under uncultured bacterium. RNAcentral's name for it is "bacterial SSU rRNA". It matches the Rfam family "Bacterial small subunit ribosomal RNA", at positions 25 to 518 of the family's 1533-position model. The record is from RNAcentral.